This 492-nucleotide ribosomal RNA is filed under the name uncultured bacterium. Its description in RNAcentral is "partial 16S ribosomal RNA". It matches the Rfam family "Bacterial small subunit ribosomal RNA", at positions 29 to 507 of the family's 1533-position model. The record is from RNAcentral.
AGUGAACGCUGGCGGUAGGCCUAACACAUGCAAGUCGAACGGCAGCACAGUAAGAGCUUGCUCUUACGGGUGGCGAGUGGCGGACGGGUGAGGAAUACAUCGGAAUCUACUUUUUCGUGGGGGAUAACGUAGGGAAACUUACGCUAAUACCGCAUACGACCUACGGGUGAAAUCAGGGGAGCUUCGGACCUUGCGCGAUUGAAUGAGCCGAUGUCGGAUUAGCUAGUUGGCGGGGUAAAGGCCCACCAAGGCGACGAUCCGUAGCUGGUCUGAGAGGAUGAUCAGCCACACUGGAACUGAGACACGGUCCAGACUCCUACGGGAGGCAGCAGUGGGGAAUAUUGGACAAUGGGCGCAAGCCUGAUCCAGCCAUACCGCGUGGGUGAGGAAGGCCUUCGGGUUGUAAAGCCCUUUUGUUGGGAAAGAAAAGCAGCAGGUUAAUACCCCGCUGUUCUGACGGUACCCAAAGAAUAAGCACCGGCUAACUUCGUG